This is a small nuclear RNA of Myotis lucifugus (little brown bat), 106 nucleotides long. The record is from Ensembl. Lineage: Eukaryota; Metazoa; Chordata; Mammalia; Chiroptera; Vespertilionidae.
AUGCUGGCUUCAGAAGCACAUAUACUAAGAUUAGAACAAUACAGGGAAGAUUAGCAUGGACCCUGUGCACGGUAACACACAAAUUGGUGAAGUGUUCCAUAUUAAA